GACGAAGGGGGCUAGCGUUGUUCGGAAUUACUGGGCGUAAAGCGCGUGUAGGCGGUUAUCCAAGUCGGGUGUGAAAGCCUUGAGCUCAACUCAAGAAAUGCAUUCGGUACUGGGUGACUAGAGGACCGGAGAGGAUAGUGGAAUUCCCAGUGUAGUGGUGAAAUACGUAGAGAUUGGGAAGAACACCAGUGGCGAAGGCGGCUAUCUGGACGGUUUCUGACGCUGAGACGCGAAAGCGUGGGGAGCAAACAGG
This 253-nucleotide ribosomal RNA is filed under the name uncultured bacterium. RNAcentral describes it as "partial 16S ribosomal RNA". It matches the Rfam family "Bacterial small subunit ribosomal RNA", at positions 524 to 776 of the family's 1533-position model. The record is from RNAcentral.